AGCACCUGCUGGAAGACUCAGUUCCUUCCUAAUCCUAACUCUUGCUUGUGGCCUCCUUUUUUUCCUCUCUGGAAAUGUUUAGGAAUUUCUUUUUGUCUGUAAUCCGAGAACUAGCGCAGUGCCCGACACAGAUUAAGUCCUGAGAAAAAAUGCUUGCUGACCUAAACUGAACUGGAGUCAUAGUCCGCAAUUCUGAAAACAGUCCCAUGAGAGCCAAACACAUCAAGAAAAAGAGUGAGAUGGUUCAUUUUUUCAGGCACGAGUCUUGUUUUCGUGGUUGCUUUGUAAGCGAAGUCACUUGCUGCAGUAAGCCCAGAGUGAAAGCCAGAUCAUCUGAGUCCCAAAACAGUGGCCUAUUCAUUAGGUUCCCUGUGUCUCAGGGGCACCAGUGUUUUCUGACAGUAACGUUGGACAGGAGAGCUGCCUUCUUCCAGGGCCACGGAAACCUUCCAAGAGCCUGAACUGGAAUUAAACUUGGCGAGGAUUACUAAAUGCCACUGGUGUUAGACAACUGAAGGUUUCUGCAGCAAGAACAUAAUUCAAGAAAAAUAAAACCGAAUUGUUGGAAAGCACCUACAGUGAGAGCCAUGCAGGAUUCAAACAUCCAAGAAAAGCUUCCCGGAUCUGUGCUGCCCCAGCUGGAGUUGAUCGAAUUGUUUCUAUUCUUUCCUAUUCCUAGGACUACUUCCCUAUAAACUACCUGCUUCUAAGUCCUUGUCUCAAGCUCUGCUUUUGGGGAAACAUAAAUUAAGGACUUUAGAACGCUGUGUAUAUCUAACGAGAACACCAUCCCGAGGCUUUCUUACCCUCAACUCACUGUUUUGAGGCUACUCUGCCACAUUGGUCCUGGCCUUGGGCCCAGUAGUAAUGGUUGACCAGACGAAGGCCAGUAUCA
Molecule: long non-coding RNA, 895 nt
Filed under: Equus asinus (donkey)
Lineage: Eukaryota; Metazoa; Chordata; Mammalia; Perissodactyla; Equidae
Description: lncRNA (ENSEASG00005027771.1)
Source: RNAcentral